RNAcentral lists this ribosomal RNA (40 nucleotides) under Fusarium sp. 2 Sa8-8. RNAcentral's name for it is "partial 17S ribosomal RNA". Lineage: Eukaryota; Fungi; Ascomycota; Sordariomycetes; Hypocreales; Nectriaceae. The record is from RNAcentral.
GUUAAAAANUCGUAACAAGGUCUCCGUUGGUGAACCAGCG